RNAcentral lists this ribosomal RNA (468 nucleotides) under uncultured bacterium. RNAcentral's name for it is "partial 16S ribosomal RNA". It matches the Rfam family "Bacterial small subunit ribosomal RNA", at positions 28 to 507 of the family's 1533-position model. The record is from RNAcentral.
GACGAACGCUGGCGGCGUGCUUAACACAUGCAAGUCGAACGGAAAGGCCCUGCUUUUGUGGGGUGCUCGAGUGGCGAACGGGUGAGUAACACGUGAGUAACCUGCCCUUGACUUUGGGAUAACUUCAGGAAACUGGGGCUAAUACCGGAUAGGAGCUCCUGCUGCAUGGUGGGGGUUGGAAAGUGUCGGCGGUUGGGGAUGGACUCGCGGCUUAUCAGCUGGUUGGUGGGGUAGUGGCUUACCAAGGCUUUGACGGGUAGCCGGCCUGAGAGGGUGACCGGCCACAUUGGGACUGAGAUACGGCCCAGACUCCUACGGGAGGCAGCAGUGGGGAAUAUUGCACAAUGGGCGGAAGCCUGAUGCAGCAACGCCGCGUGCGGGAUGACGGCCUUCGGGUUGUAAACCGCUUUCGCCUGUGACGAAGCGUGAGUGACGGUAAUGGGUAAAGAAGCACCGGCUAACUACGUG